UACAUGUGGGGCAAGCGUUGUUCGGAAUUACUGGGCCUAAAGGGUGCGUAGGCGGCUUUGCAAGUCGGGUGUGAAAUCCCCAGGCUUAACCUGGGAACUGCAUUCGAGACUGCAUUGCUAGAGUAUGGGAGAGGGAAGUGGAAUUUCCGGUGUAGCGGUGAAAUGCGUAGAUAUCGGAAGGAACAUCAGUGGCGAAAGCGACUUCCUGGACCAAUACUGACGCUCAUGUGCGAAAGCGUGGGGAGCAAACAGG
RNAcentral lists this ribosomal RNA (253 nucleotides) under uncultured bacterium. RNAcentral describes it as "partial 16S ribosomal RNA". It matches the Rfam family "Bacterial small subunit ribosomal RNA", at positions 524 to 776 of the family's 1533-position model. The record is from RNAcentral.